This 83-nucleotide small RNA is filed under the name Klebsiella aerogenes. Its description in RNAcentral is "partial RtT sRNA". It matches the Rfam family "RtT RNA", at positions 1 to 81 of the family's 130-position model. From Rfam's summary of the family: This family represents a bacterial cis-regulatory element known as RtT RNA. The exact function of RtT is unknown although it is thought that it may be involved in changing the cellular response in relation to amino acid starvation. The record is from RNAcentral. Lineage: Bacteria; Pseudomonadati; Pseudomonadota; Gammaproteobacteria; Enterobacterales; Enterobacteriaceae.
UAUUCUGCCCUACGGGGAAGGAUGAGAAGCUUCGACUAAGGUUCGACUCGAGCGUCAGCGAGAGAACGUUGCCGCAGGCAACG